This 779-nucleotide ribosomal RNA is filed under the name uncultured bacterium. Its description in RNAcentral is "bacterial SSU rRNA". It matches the Rfam family "Bacterial small subunit ribosomal RNA", at positions 8 to 796 of the family's 1533-position model. The record is from RNAcentral.
AGAGUUUGAUCCUGGCUCAGGAUGAACGCUGGCGGCGUGCUUAAUACAUGCAAGUCGAACGGACGAUUUUUUGUAGUAAUACAAAGGAGAGUUAGUGGCGAACGGGCGAGUAACGAGUUGGUGACCUGCCCCGAAGAUCGGGAUAACAGUCCGAAAGGGCUGCUAAUACCGGAUGUGGUCUACUGGAUUAGAAGCGGUAGAUUAAAGCAGUAAUGCACUUCGGGAGGGACCUGCUUCCCAUCAGCUAGUUGGUGAGGUAACGGCCCACCAAGGCGACGACGGGUAAGGGACCUGAGAGGGUGGUCCCUCGCAAUGGCACUGAAACACGGGCCAUACACCUACGGGUGGCAGCAGUAGGGAAUAUUGGGCAAUGGGCGAAAGCCUGACCCAGCAACGCCGCGUGCACGAUGAAGGCCUUCGGGUCGUAAAGUGCUUUUCUGAGGGAUGAGAAAGGACAGUACCUCAGGAAUAAGCCUCGGCUAACUACGUGCCAGCAGCCGCGGUAAAACGUAGGAGGCGAGCGUUAUCCGGAUUUACUGGGCGUAAAGCGUGUGUAGGCGGUACGGCAAGUUGGAUGUGAAAGCUCCUGGCUUAACUAGGAGAGGUCGUUCAAAACUACCGAACUUGAGUUUAUCAGAGGAAGAUGGAAUUCCCGGUGUAGUGGUGAAAUGCGUAGAUAUCGGGAGGAACACCAGUGGCGAAAGCGAUCUUCUGGGAUAAUGCUGACGCUCAGACACGAAAGCUAGGGUAGCGAACGGGAUUAGAUACCCUGGUAGUCC